GGGCCUCUAGCUCAUGCCUGGUUAGAGCAGCGGACUCAUAAUCCGUUGGUGCCCGGUUCGACUCCGGGGGGGCCUACCA
RNAcentral lists this transfer RNA (79 nucleotides) under Massilia horti. RNAcentral's name for it is "Massilia sp. ONC3 tRNA-Met". It matches the Rfam family "tRNA". Rfam says of the family: Transfer RNA (tRNA) molecules are approximately 80 nucleotides in length. Their secondary structure includes four short double-helical elements and three loops (D, anti-codon, and T loops). The record is from RNAcentral. RNAcentral also lists the same sequence under 1 other name. Lineage: Bacteria; Pseudomonadati; Pseudomonadota; Betaproteobacteria; Burkholderiales; Oxalobacteraceae.